RNAcentral lists this ribosomal RNA (2932 nucleotides) under Escherichia coli O55:H7. Its description in RNAcentral is "23S ribosomal RNA". It matches the Rfam family "Bacterial large subunit ribosomal RNA". Lineage: Bacteria; Pseudomonadati; Pseudomonadota; Gammaproteobacteria; Enterobacterales; Enterobacteriaceae. The record is from RNAcentral.
GGGUUGUGAGGUUAAGCGACUAAGCGUACACGGUGGAUGCCCUGGCAGUCAGAGGCGAUGAAGGACGUGCUAAUCUGCGAUAAGCGUCGGUAAGGUGAUAUGAACCGUUAUAACCGGCGAUUUCCGAAUGGGGAAACCCAGUGUGUUUCGACACACUAUCAUUAACUGAAUCCAUAGGUUAAUGAGGCGAACCGGGGGAACUGAAACAUCUAAGUACCCCGAGGAAAAGAAAUCAACCGAGAUUCCCCCAGUAGCGGCGAGCGAACGGGGAGGAGCCCAGAGCCUGAAUCAGUGUGUGUGUUAGUGGAAGCGUCUGGAAAGGCGCGCGAUACAGGGUGACAGCCCCGUACACAAAAAUGCACAUACUGUGAGCUCGAUGAGUAGGGCGGGACACGUGGUAUCCUGUCUGAAUAUGGGGGGACCAUCCUCCAAGGCUAAAUACUCCUGACUGACCGAUAGUGAACCAGUACCGUGAGGGAAAGGCGAAAAGAACCCCGGCGAGGGGAGUGAAAAAGAACCUGAAACCGUGUACGUACAAGCAGUGGGAGCACAGAGCAAUCUGUGUGACUGCGUACCUUUUGUAUAAUGGGUCAGCGACUUAUAUUCUGUAGCAAGGUUAACCGAAUAGGGGAGCCGAAGGGAAACCGAGUCUUAACUGGGCGUUAAGUUGCAGGGUAUAGACCCGAAACCCGGUGAUCUAGCCAUGGGCAGGUUGAAGGUUGGGUAACACUAACUGGAGGACCGAACCGACUAAUGUUGAAAAAUUAGCGGAUGACUUGUGGCUGGGGGUGAAAGGCCAAUCAAACCGGGAGAUAGCUGGUUCUCCCCGAAAGCUAUUUAGGUAGCGCCUCGUGAAUUCAUCUCCGGGGGUAGAGCACUGUUUCGGCAAGGGGGUCAUCCCGACUUACCAACCCGAUGCAAACUGCGAAUACCGGAGAAUGUUAUCACGGGAGACACACGGCGGGUGCUAACGUCCGUCGUGAAGAGGGAAACAACCCAGACCGCCAGCUAAGGUCCCAAAGUCAUGGUUAAGUGGGAAACGAUGUGGGAAGGCCCAGACAGCCAGGAUGUUGGCUUAGAAGCAGCCAUCAUUUAAAGAAAGCGUAAUAGCUCACUGGUCGAGUCGGCCUGCGCGGAAGAUGUAACGGGGCUAAACCAUGCACCGAAGCUGCGGCAGCGACACUGUGUGUUGUUGGGUAGGGGAGCGUUCUGUAAGCCUGUGAAGGUGUACUGUGAGGUAUGCUGGAGGUAUCAGAAGUGCGAAUGCUGACAUAAGUAACGAUAAAGUGGGUGAAAAGCCCGCUCGCCGGAAGACCAAGGGUUCCUGUCCAACGUUAAUCGGGGCAGGGUGAGUCGACCCCUAAGGCGAGGCCGAAAGGCGUAGUCGAUGGGAAACAGGUUAAUAUUCCUGUACUUGGUGUUACUGCGAAGGGGGGACGGAGAAGGCUAUGUUGGCCGGGCGACGGUUGUCCCGGUUUAAGCGUGUAGGCUGGUUUUCCAGGCAAAUCCGGAAAAUCAAGGCUGAGGCGUGAUGACGAGGCACUACGGUGCUGAAGCAACAAAUGCCCUGCUUCCAGGAAAAGCCUCUAAGCAUCAGGUAACAUCAAAUCGUACCCCAAACCGACACAGGUGGUCAGGUAGAGAAUACCAAGGCGCUUGAGAGAACUCGGGUGAAGGAACUAGGCAAAAUGGUGCCGUAACUUCGGGAGAAGGCACGCUGAUAUGUAGGUGAAGUCCCUCGCGGAUGGAGCUGAAAUCAGUCGAAGAUACCAGCUGGCUGCAACUGUUUAUUAAAAACACAGCACUGUGCAAACACGAAAGUGGACGUAUACGGUGUGACGCCUGCCCGGUGCCGGAAGGUUAAUUGAUGGGGUCAGCGCAAGCGAAGCUCUUGAUCGAAGCCCCGGUAAACGGCGGCCGUAACUAUAACGGUCCUAAGGUAGCGAAAUUCCUUGUCGGGUAAGUUCCGACCUGCACGAAUGGCGUAAUGAUGGCCAGGCUGUCUCCACCCGAGACUCAGUGAAAUUGAACUCGCUGUGAAGAUGCAGUGUACCCGCGGCAAGACGGAAAGACCCCGUGAACCUUUACUAUAGCUUGACACUGAACAUUGAGCCUUGAUGUGUAGGAUAGGUGGGAGGCUUUGAAGUGUGGACGCCAGUCUGCAUGGAGCCGACCUUGAAAUACCACCCUUUAAUGUUUGAUGUUCUAACGUUGACCCGUAAUCCGGGUUGCGGACAGUGUCUGGUGGGUAGUUUGACUGGGGCGGUCUCCUCCUAAAGAGUAACGGAGGAGCACGAAGGUUGGCUAAUCCUGGUCGGACAUCAGGAGGUUAGUGCAAUGGCAUAAGCCAGCUUGACUGCGAGCGUGACGGCGCGAGCAGGUGCGAAAGCAGGUCAUAGUGAUCCGGUGGUUCUGAAUGGAAGGGCCAUCGCUCAACGGAUAAAAGGUACUCCGGGGAUAACAGGCUGAUACCGCCCAAGAGUUCAUAUCGACGGCGGUGUUUGGCACCUCGAUGUCGGCUCAUCACAUCCUGGGGCUGAAGUAGGUCCCAAGGGUAUGGCUGUUCGCCAUUUAAAGUGGUACGCGAGCUGGGUUUAGAACGUCGUGAGACAGUUCGGUCCCUAUCUGCCGUGGGCGCUGGAGAACUGAGGGGGGCUGCUCCUAGUACGAGAGGACCGGAGUGGACGCAUCACUGGUGUUCGGGUUGUCAUGCCAAUGGCACUGCCCGGUAGCUAAAUGCGGAAGAGAUAAGUGCUGAAAGCAUCUAAGCACGAAACUUGCCCCGAGAUGAGUUCUCCCUGACUCCUUGAGAGUCCUGAAGGAACGUUGAAGACGACGACGUUGAUAGGCCGGGUGUGUAAGCGCAGCGAUGCGUUGAGCUAACCGGUACUAAUGAACCGUGAGGCUUAACCUUACAACGCCGAAGGUGUUU